AUCGGGAAUCUUGCACAAUGGACGAAAGUCUGAUGCAGCGACGCCGCGUGGAGGAUGAAGGCCUUCGGGUUGUAAACUCCUUUUAUAUGGUAGCAAAAUAUGAGCACCAUACGAAUAAGGGACUCCUAACUUCGUGCCAGCAGGAGCGGUGAUACGAAGGUCCCAAGCGUUACCCGGAUUUACUGGGCGUAAAGAGAUGCGUAGGUGUCUUGUUAAGUUAAUUGGUAAAGCCCGCAGCUCAACUGCGGAAUCUCAAUUAAUACUGGCAGGAUUGAGACAAACAGAGGGAGGAGGAACUUCCAGUGGAGCAGUAAAAUGCGUUGAUAUUGGAAGGAACACCAGAGGCGAAGGCGUCCUCCUGGGUUUGUUCUGACACUAAGGCUCGAAAGCGUGGGGAGCAAAACGGAUUAGAAACCCCAGUAGUCC
This 426-nucleotide ribosomal RNA is filed under the name uncultured bacterium. RNAcentral's name for it is "bacterial SSU rRNA". It matches the Rfam family "Bacterial small subunit ribosomal RNA", at positions 354 to 796 of the family's 1533-position model. The record is from RNAcentral.